GAAGUUUGAUGCUACGAAGUCCAUGUUGAUAAUUCACUUCUUACUAGGGUUGAUUUCUUAUCUCAAGCAAAUAACUAGUAAGCCAGACCUAUUAUUUGCAACCAAUAGUCAGAGUAUAAAAUAAUGGAAUUAACAAGAGGUUUCUACCACCGUUAGAAUCUUGAACACUUAGUUACGUUACAAACCCAAACCCAUAGAUCCCAUAACUUCGGUUAAGGGAAUUUAGCUACUCAUAAUAAAAUGAUCAAGACAACAAGUUGAAUUCAUAGUUUGAUAUUUGAACUUACAAAAAGAUGAAUAGCAACAAGUGUUUCUCACAUUUGAUUAACAGUAGAAAGUCCCAAAACAAUUGUAAUAAUCUCUCCAAAAAUAAUUGCAAAGUUCAAGUCAGAAAACUAGAUUCAAGUCAGAAAACUAGAGAGAAGUGAUUCUCAAAAUGUCGGUUCCCCCCUUCAUUAUGAUUAGAAAACCCUAACAUAUGCUUUUAAUACUUCAUCUUAAUAAUGGAAACAAAAUCAUAGAUCACUUUAUUUUCUCAGACAGGCGAUGAUGUGUGUGACAGCUUAUUAGGGGUCUGACGACUUAUCAAGAAUGUCGUCAGUUCCUCUUCACUUCUGACAAUCUCUGCCUUAGGUUGACGAUGAGACGUCACAACUUAACAUACAUGUGAUGACUUAUCAGAAUUGCCGUUGCUUCUUCACUUCAAAUCUUAUUCCCUGCCUAAGCCUAACGACGAGCUGGACGACCUAUCAUACUUCUGCCGGCCUAUUACAGAUGUCGUCAUGAAUUCCAGCUGAAGCUCAUUCUUUUGUCUAAGCCUGACGGCAUGUCUGAUAGCUUAUCACAAGGGUGACGACUUAUCAGAUAAGUCGUCAACUAUACUUCCCUCUCUACUUGCUCAGAAAUCAAAUCUUUUACUUCCAGUAUAGCUGGUUCUCUUGCAUCUUGACUUUUACUGCAAUAUCAAAUAGAAAACAAUCAAAAACGAAAAAUGUUGCUUAAGAAUUUGCGAUUAUUCUUAGUUAAAAGCAUCAAAUGUGUUAGCAUUUGCUCACAUAUCAGUUAUGAAAUCGUAAAUGAAUAAAUAUAUAAAAAUAGUAUAAGAAUACUAUCGAAAGAAUAAUCCUUGAAAAACACCUUUUAAAUCUCCCAAAAUUGAUUUCCUAUGCUUUAAAAUUGGGGUUUUUGAUUGAAAAUAUAAAUUUAUGUUUGUCCAGCGAUUUCAUUCUGUGCAAGUGUAGUGACCCGAUCCAUAAUUCAUCACAAAUACAAAUCACCCAUCAAUAAUGCGAUAAAUAUUUCCCUGAUCUGGACAUGAUUUCCUCUUCUCAAACGUGAUCCCCUCUGUAAGCUAACAAUAACCAACACCCUUCGUCCUUCACAAAUGCAACCAAAUCCUCACUAAAGCAACGGAGAUACUUUAGCCACACCAGUAACACUGGUGACAUCUAAAACAAACUAUGCUAUUGGAAUAAAAAAACAUAUCAGACUCAAUGAAAUUAUAAAAUCACUGAAAAUGUGUCAUCCUAAGCAAAUGUUGACUAACAUCAACCUUAUACCUUUAACUUUCGAAUUUCCAACAAACUACCAAAAAUCCAUUAGAAUGCCACCUUUAGAGAAAAAGCAAAGUUCCUAUUAUCCCAAAAACCCUAUUUUGAAGCCAACAUAUUUGACGACAUUCUCAUACGACCUCAUUACCACCAAUUAUUGGUCAAAGCUCACUAUACCAACUCUGAGACCUUCCAAAAUGUAAAACUCACAUAAUACUCAAUCAACUACUACAAAAAAUGUAUCAUUCUCACCCGCAGACCUUAAUUACUAUAAAGAAACUAUGAGAACAGAAAAAAUAAUCAAAUAUAUCAAAAUCAAAGAAACACUAUUAAAAUUAUUACAGAUAUUAUUGGUGAAAGCAUAAGGUUUAUCAUUAGCAGAUACUACAUAAGUUGAAUUAUCAUGUACUCAAUCAACUACUACAAAAAAUGUAUCAUCCUUACCCGCAGACCUUAAUUACUAUAAAGAAACUAUGAGAACAGAAAAAAUAAUUAAAUAUAUCAAAAUCAAAGAAACACUAUUAAAAUUAUUACAGAUAUUAUUGGUGAAAGCAUAAGGUUUAUCAUUAGCAGAUACUACAUAAGUUGAAUUAUCAUGAGUAAGGAUCACGUAAACUCAAUUAGUGAGAUAAGAAUGAAAUAUUACCAAAGUAAGACAAGAAAUGAAAUUUGGUCUAUAAAAAGGAAACAAAACUGGUGGCAUGAAAUGUAAUUCUACUAGUAUACACAUGCUCAUGACCUAUAGAGUCCUGAAAAAUAGGAAACCCACAAAACUACCCUAUGAAAACAACCAGAAUACAAUGGGUUUCAAA
Molecule: long non-coding RNA, 2362 nt
Filed under: Capsicum annuum
Lineage: Eukaryota; Viridiplantae; Streptophyta; Magnoliopsida; Solanales; Solanaceae
Description: long non-coding RNA (CANN_LNC007146)
Source: RNAcentral